RNAcentral lists this unclassified non-coding RNA (321 nucleotides) under Hevea brasiliensis (rubber tree). Lineage: Eukaryota; Viridiplantae; Streptophyta; Magnoliopsida; Malpighiales; Euphorbiaceae. The record is from RNAcentral.
GAAUCUAGAAGUACCUAGAAGUUUUUGUUUUAAGGCACAAUUAAUUGUUAUUGAUUUAUAAUAAUAUCCAGUACAUUAUGAAGUCAAGGCAGAGCUCAGUCAAUUAACAUAUGGUAUUUUCAUGUUCAAUCGAAUAGGAAUUCAACUGAAUCUCAUCUAAUAUGUCCAUAAUGGCUACUGGAAUUGGGUGACAGAAAGAGUGACCAAACAAAACAAAUACCAUUCAUACUCAUGCGACCUUGCUUAGGCUUGUGAGCAUGGACGGACCCUUGAUAAAGAAAAUGCAGGUUGUCGGAAACCGAAAAAAGUUCAGUGUUGAAG